Molecule: ribosomal RNA, 2727 nt
Filed under: Shigella flexneri II:(3)4,7(8)
Lineage: Bacteria; Pseudomonadati; Pseudomonadota; Gammaproteobacteria; Enterobacterales; Enterobacteriaceae
Description: bacterial LSU rRNA
Rfam family: Bacterial large subunit ribosomal RNA
Source: RNAcentral
AGCGUACACGGUGGAUGCCCUGGCAGUCAGAGGCGAUGAAGGACGUGCUAAUCUGCGAUAAGCUCGGUAAGGUGAUAUGAACCGUUAUAACCGGCGAUUUCCGAAUGGGGAAACCCAGUGUGAUUCGUCACACUAUCAUUAACUGAAUCCAUAGGUUAAUGAGGCGAACCGGGGGAACUGAAACAUCUAAGUACCCCGAGGAAAAGAAAUCAACCGAGAUUCCCCCAGUAGCGGCGAGCGAACGGGGAGCAGCCCAGAGCCUGAAUCAGUGUGUGUGUUAGUGGAAGCGUCUGGAAAGGCGUGCGAUACAGGGUGACAGCCCCGUACACAAAAAUGCACAUACUGUGAGCUCGAUGAGUAGGGCGGGACACGUGGUAUCCUGUCUGAAUAUGGGGGGACCAUCCUCCAAGGCUAAAUACUCCUGACUGACCGAUAGUGAACCAGUACCGUGAGGGAAAGGCGAAAAGAACCCCGGCGAGGGGAGUGAAAAAGAACCUGAAACCGUGUACGUACAAGCAGUGGGAGCACGCUUAGGCGUGUGACUGCGUACCUUUUGUAUAAUGGGUCAGCGACUUAUAUUCUGUAGCAAGGUUAACCGAAUAGGGGAGCCGAAGGGAAACCGAGUCUUAACUGGGCGUUAAGUUGCAGGGUAUAGACCCGAAACCCGGUGAUCUAGCCAUGGGCAGGUUGAAGGUUGGGUAACACUAACUGGAGGACCGAACCGACUAAUGUUGAAAAAUUAGCGGAUGACUUGUGGCUGGGGGUGAAAGGCCAAUCAAACCGGGAGAUAGCUGGUUCUCCCCGAAAGCUAUUUAGGUAGCGCCUCGUGAAUUCAUCUCCGGGGGUAGAGCACUGUUUCGGCAAGGGGGUCAUCCCGACUUACCAACCCGAUGCAAACUGCGAAUACCGGAGAAUGUUAUCACGGGAGACACACGGCGGGUGCUAACGUCCGUCGUGAAGAGGGAAACAACCCAGACCGCCAGCUAAGGUCCCAAAGUCAUGGUUAAGUGGGAAACGAUGUGGGAAGGCCCAGACAGCCAGGAUGUUGGCUUAGAAGCAGCCAUCAUUUAAAGAAAGCGUAAUAGCUCACUGGUCGAGUCGGCCUGCGCGGAAGAUGUAACGGGGCUAAACCAUGCACCGAAGCUGCGGCAGCGACGCUUAUGCGUUGUUGGGUAGGGGAGCGUUCUGUAAGCCUGUGAAGGUGUGCUGUGAGGUAUGCUGGAGGUAUCAGAAGUGCGAAUGCUGACAUAAGUAACGAUAAAGCGGGUGAAAAGCCCGCUCGCCGGAAGACCAAGGGUUCCUGUCCAACGUUAAUCGGGGCAGGGUGAGUCGACCCCUAAGGCGAGGCCGAAAGGCGUAGUCGAUGGGAAACAGGUUAAUAUUCCUGUACUUGGUGUUACUGCGAAGGGGGGACGGAGAAGGCUAUGUUGGCCGGGCGACGGUUGUCCCGGUUUAAGCGUGUAGGCUGGUUUUCCAGGCAAAUCCGGAAAAUCAAGGCCGAGGCGUGAUGACGAGGCACUACGGUGCUGAAGCAACAAAUGCCCUGCUUCCAGGAAAAGCCUCUAAGCAUCAGGUAACAUCAAAUCGUACCCCAAACCGACACAGGUGGUCAGGUAGAGAAUACCAAGGCGCUUGAGAGAACUCGGGUGAAGGAACUAGGCAAAAUGGUGCCGUAACUUCGGGAGAAGGCACGCUGAUACGUAGGUGAAGCGACUUGCUCGUGGAGCUGAAAUCAGUCGAAGAUACCAGCUGGCUGCAACUGUUUAUUAAAAACACAGCACUGUGCAAACACGAAAGUGGACGUAUACGGUGUGACGCCUGCCCGGUGCCGGAAGGUUAAUUGAUGGGGUUAGCGCAAGCGAAGCUCUUGAUCGAAGCCCCGGUAAACGGCGGCCGUAACUAUAACGGUCCUAAGGUAGCGAAAUUCCUUGUCGGGUAAGUUCCGACCUGCACGAAUGGCGUAAUGAUGGCCAGGCUGUCUCCACCCGAGACUCAGUGAAAUUGAACUCGCUGUGAAGAUGCAGUGUACCCGCGGCAAGACGGAAAGACCCCGUGAACCUUUACUAUAGCUUGACACUGAACAUUGAGCCUUGAUGUGUAGGAUAGGUGGGAGGCUUUGAAGUGUGGACGCCAGUCUGCAUGGAGCCGACCUUGAAAUACCACCCUUUAAUGUUUGAUGUUCUAACGUGGACCCGUGAUCCGGGUUGCGGACAGUGUCUGGUGGGUAGUUUGACUGGGGCGGUCUCCUCCUAAAGAGUAACGGAGGAGCACGAAGGUUGGCUAAUCCUGGUCGGACAUCAGGAGGUUAGUGCAAUGGCAUAAGCCAGCUUGACUGCGAGCGUGACGGCGCGAGCAGGUGCGAAAGCAGGUCAUAGUGAUCCGGUGGUUCUGAAUGGAAGGGCCAUCGCUCAACGGAUAAAAGGUACUCCGGGGAUAACAGGCUGAUACCGCCCAAGAGUUCAUAUCGACGGCGGUGUUUGGCACCUCGAUGUCGGCUCAUCACAUCCUGGGGCUGAAGUAGGUCCCAAGGGUAUGGCUGUUCGCCAUUUAAAGUGGUACGCGAGCUGGGUUUAGAACGUCGUGAGACAGUUCGGUCCCUAUCUGCCGUGGGCGCUGGAGAACUGAGGGGGGCUGCUCCUAGUACGAGAGGACCGGAGUGGACGCAUCACUGGUGUUCGGGUUGUCAUGCCAAUGGCACUGCCCGGUAGCUAAAUGCGGAAGAGAUAA